This 498-nucleotide long non-coding RNA is filed under the name Populus trichocarpa (black cottonwood). RNAcentral describes it as "long non-coding RNA (PTRI_LNC000842)". The record is from RNAcentral. Lineage: Eukaryota; Viridiplantae; Streptophyta; Magnoliopsida; Malpighiales; Salicaceae.
UAGUUAUGAUUAAAAAGCACUAAACUCUUCCUCUUUGUGUGUCUCAAUGACAACAUCAGACGUAGGAUAAGCAACACAAGUGAGAACCCAACCUUCCGCUAUCUGGUCUUCAUCAAGGAAGCUACCAUCAGACUGAUCCACAGUCCCUUGCACAACCUUGCCAGCACAUGAAGAGCAAGCUCCAGCCCUGCAUGAGUAUGGGAGGUCCAUUCCAUGCGCCUCCUCAGCAUGGUCGAGGAUGUAGACGUUGGUGGGGCAAUCAAACUCCUCCUCACCGUCAGGAGUGAUGAGCUUCACCUUGUGCGCUGCCAUUGCUUUAGCACGUCCUCCUCGACUGGCUUUUAAGCCAAAAAGCGCCUCCCCCACGGCGGGAAGAGCCCGUAGGCUUGUUACUGGCUUUUGUUUAGCAAACGAGGUGCUAACCAUGGCGCUGGUACUGAGGGCUGCUGCGGUUGCCAUUCUUCUUCAAUCCAGUCUUACAGACAAGGCUUUCGGAUA